CUCAGGAUGAACGCUAGCUACAGGCUUAACACAUGCAAGUCGAGGGGCAGCGAGGGCGUAGCAAUACGCCUGUCGGCGACCGGCGCACUGGUGAGUAACACGUAUGGAACCUGCCCGCCACAGGGGGAUAACCGGUAGAAAUGCCGACUAAUACCCCGUAUGCCCACAGGGGCGCAUGCCCUGGUGGGGAAACAUUCAUGGGUGGCGGAUGGCCAUGCGGCGCAUUAGCUGGUUGGCGGGUAACGGCCCACCUAGCCGACGAUGGGUAGGGGUUCUGAGAGGAAGGUCCCCCACAUUGGAACUGAGACACGGUCCAAACUCCUACGGGAGGCAGCAGUGAGGAAUAUUGGUCAAUGGGCGAGAGCCUGAACCAGCCAAGUAGCGUGUGGGACGAAUGCCCUAUGGGUUGUAAACUGCUUUAUAAGGGAAUAAAGUGAGCCUCGUGAGGCUUUUGCAUGUACCUUAUGAAUAAGGACCGGCUAAUUCCGUG
This 490-nucleotide ribosomal RNA is filed under the name uncultured bacterium. RNAcentral describes it as "bacterial SSU rRNA". It matches the Rfam family "Bacterial small subunit ribosomal RNA", at positions 23 to 507 of the family's 1533-position model. The record is from RNAcentral.